UACAGAGGGUGCGAGCGUUGUUCGGAAUUAUUGGGCGUAAAGGGCGCGUAGGCGGUGCGGUAAGUCACCUGUGAAAUCUCCUGGCUCAACUGGGAGUCUGCAGGCGAAACUGCCGUGCUGGAGUGUGGGAGAGGUGAGUGGAAUUCCCGGUGUAGCGGUGAAAUGCGUAGAGAUCGGUAGGAACACCCAGGGGGAAACCAGCCGACUGGGCAUUUGGCUGACGCUGAGGUGCGAGAGCGUGGGGAGCGAACCGG
Molecule: ribosomal RNA, 254 nt
Filed under: uncultured bacterium
Lineage: Bacteria
Description: partial 16S ribosomal RNA
Rfam family: Bacterial small subunit ribosomal RNA
Source: RNAcentral